This 474-nucleotide ribosomal RNA is filed under the name Streptococcus australis. RNAcentral describes it as "bacterial SSU rRNA". It matches the Rfam family "Bacterial small subunit ribosomal RNA", at positions 28 to 485 of the family's 1533-position model. The record is from RNAcentral. Lineage: Bacteria; Bacillati; Bacillota; Bacilli; Lactobacillales; Streptococcaceae.
GAUGAACGCUGGCGGCGUGCCUAAUACAUGCAAGUAGAACGCUGAAGGAAGGAGCUUGCUCUUUCCGGAUGAGUUGCGAACGGGUGAGUAACGCGUAGGUAACCUGCCUGGUAGCGGGGGAUAACUAUUGGAAACGAUGGCUAAUACCGCAUAACAGUAGAUAUUGCAUGAUAUCUGCUUGAAAGGGGCAAUUGCUCCACUACCAGAUGGACCUGCGUUGUAUUAGCUAGUUGGUGAGGUAACGGCUCACCAAGGCGACGAUACAUAGCCGACCUGAGAGGGUGAUCGGCCACACUGGGACUGAGACACGGCCCAGACUCCUACGGGAGGCAGCAGUAGGGAAUCUUCGGCAAUGGACGGAAGUCUGACCGAGCAACGCCGCGUGAGUGAAGAAGGUUUUCGGAUCGUAAAGCUCUGUUGUAAGAGAAGAACGAGUGUGAGAGUGGAAAGUUCACACUGUGACGGUAUCUACCA